This is a long non-coding RNA of Eleginops maclovinus (Patagonian blennie), 631 nucleotides long. RefSeq lists it as uncharacterized. The transcript has 5 exons. NCBI's taxonomy places the organism in Eukaryota, Metazoa, Chordata, Actinopteri, Perciformes, Eleginopidae. The record is from RefSeq and is a predicted model, not a curated record.
UAAGUUCUUCCCCUCGGGUUCCUCAGUCCUCUUCUACAUCCAGCAUGGCAGCAGAAAGGAGCUCACGGUGCGCCUUCUCGCAGCGGUUUCUUCAAAUGUUACCCCUUGGAAUCGAAAAGCUGAAUAGAUUGUCUGAAACAAGCAUGACCGUAGGCUGUAUGGAGUCCAGCUUGGAAUGGUGCCCGAGUGACUUGCAUGACAGCUAAGGAGCAGAAAACGAAUCUGAUUUGAAGAUGAUUUCCAUACAAAUAAGCUCCAGUGUGCAACUGUGUUUGAGCUGUCUGGAGACCUACCUUGCUAGAUUUGAGAGCUGGUAAAGAGUGGAGUGAAAGAGUCCUAGCUUUUGGACGAAGAUCUGAGUCUGCUGUGUUUCAGAUUCUCCUGAGAUUGAAGCUCUAGGUUGACCAUGAGUUUGAAAGCUGGUUUAUGCAGGAGUCAACAAAUGGGGAAAGUAACCACAUGAUCCUGCUAAUGACCGACAGCUGAUGAUGGACUUAUAUUUUUUGGGUUCCUUUUGUCAUCACUGGCCAGAAAAUCGUUGACCUCAAGCAAGCUGAAUGAUGAAACUACAACUCUCAAUGUUUCAAUGAAGGACAAUAUAAUCUGUUUUGUCAAAUAAACUUUGAAGUAA